AUUGAACGCUGGCGGCAGGCCUAACACAUGCAAGUCGAGCGGAUGAAGGGAGCUUGCUCCUGGAUUCAGCGGCGGACGGGUGAGUAAUGCCUAGGAAUCUGCCUGGUAGUGGGGGAUAACGUCCGGAAACGGGCGCUAAUACCGCAUACGUCCUGAGGGAGAAAGUGGGGGAUCUUCGGACCUCACGCUAUCAGAUGAGCCUAGGUCGGAUUAGCUAGUUGGUGGGGUAAAGGCCUACCAAGGCGACGAUCCGUAACUGGUCUGAGAGGAUGAUCAGUCACACUGGAACUGAGACACGGUCCAGACUCCUACGGGAGGCAGCAGUGGGGAAUAUUGGACAAUGGGCGAAAGCCUGAUCCAGCCAUGCCGCGUGUGUGAAGAAGGUCUUCGGAUUGUAAAGCACUUUAAGUUGGGAGGAAGGGCAGUAAGUUAAUACCUGGCUGUUUGGACGUUACCAACAGAAUAAGCACCGGCGAACUUCGU
RNAcentral lists this ribosomal RNA (483 nucleotides) under uncultured bacterium. Its description in RNAcentral is "partial 16S ribosomal RNA". It matches the Rfam family "Bacterial small subunit ribosomal RNA", at positions 30 to 506 of the family's 1533-position model. The record is from RNAcentral.